This 5415-nucleotide long non-coding RNA is filed under the name Sus scrofa (pig). Its description in RNAcentral is "lncRNA (ENSSSCG00060047179.1)". Lineage: Eukaryota; Metazoa; Chordata; Mammalia; Artiodactyla; Suidae. The record is from RNAcentral.
UUUUUUUUUUUUUUUUUUUUUUUUUUUUGGUCAUUUCUUGGGCUGCUCCCAUGGCAUAUGGAAAUUCCCAGGCUAGGGGUCAAAUUGGAGAAGUAGCCACCAGCCUACAUCACAGCCACAGCAAUGCGGGAUCCAAGCCGCGUCUGCAACCUACACCAUGGCUCAUGGCAACACCGAAUCUUUAACCCACUGAGCAAGGCCAGGGAUUGAACCCACAACCUCAUGGUUCCUAGUUGGAUUCAUUAACCACUGAGCCACGAUGGGAACUCUGGUUUCUAUACACUAAUUACAACUAUCAGAAAAAGUAACUUAAAAAAAAUCCCAUUUAUGGAGUUAAGGGGGUUAAGGCUGCAGCACUGUUGCAGCUGGAGCUCAGAUUCAAUUCUUGGCCCAGGAACUUCCAUAUGCUGCAAGUGCAGUGGCAAAGGGGAAAAAAAUCCCAUUUAUAGUUGCAAUAAAGACAAUACAUAGAAAUAAAUUUAACCCAAAAGGUGAAGACCAGUAAAACGACAACUAUAAGACAUUGAUGAAUGAAACUGAAAAAGAUACAAAUAAAUGCAAAGAUACUCUAUACUCAUAGAUUAGAAGAAUUUGUCAUUAAAAUGUCCAUACUACCCAAAGCAAUAUACACAUUCAACACCCAAUCAAAAUUCCAAUGGUAUUUUUCACGAAAAUAGACUAGUCAAUAUUAAAAUUUGUAUGGGACCACAAAAAGCUCUGCACAUCUAAAGCAAUUUGGGGAAAAAGAACAAAGCUGGAGGCAGCUCUCUCCCUGGUUUCAAACUAUACUAUAAAACUACAAUAAUCAAAGCAGUAUGCUAUAGGCAUAAAAUAGAUACAUAGAUCAAUGGAACAGAAUAGAGUCCAGAAAUAACCCCACAUAAAUACACUAAAUUGAUUUAUGAUAGAGAAGCUGAGUGUGUACAAUGGGGGAAGGACAAUGUAUUCCAUAAAUGAUGCUGGGAAGACAGGAUAGCCAUAUGCAAAAGAAUGAAGCUAGACCACUAUCUUACAUUAUCUACACAUGUUUAAUCGAAAUGGACUAAAGACUUGAAUGUAAGACAUGAUAUCAUAAAAUUCCUAGAAGAAAACACAGGUGCCAAGCCCUUUGAAACUAGUACUGACAAUGAUAUUUUUGAUUUGACACCAAAAGCAAAGGGAAUGAACACAAGAAUAAACACGUAUAACUAUGUAAAACUAAAAAUAUUCACAGCAAAGAAAACCAUAAACAAAAUGAAAAGGCCACCUAAGAACUGGAGAAAGUAUUUGAAAAUCAUAUAUAAGUUAAGGGAUUAAUAUCCAAAAUAUAUAAAGAGCCCAUACAACUCAACAGCACAAAAACAAUCCAAAAUUUUAAAUAUGACAGUGAAUCUAAACUGAUAUUUUCCAAAGAUGACAUUCAGAUGGCCAACAGGUACAUGAAGAGAGGCUCAACAUCACUAGUCAUCAGAGAAAUGCAAAUCAAAACCACAAUGAAAUACCAAGUAAUACCUCUUAUAAUGGCUAAUAUCAAAAAGACAAGAAAUAAAAAUGGUGGGCAAGGUUGUAGAGAAAACUGAACACUAGUGCACUAUUUAUGGAUAUGCAACUGGUACAGCCACUCUGGCAAACAGCAUGGAGACUCCUCAAAAAUUAAAAAUAGAACUACCAUAUAAUUUAGAUAUUCCACUUCUGAGUAUUUAUCUGAAGAAAAUGAAAAUUCAAACUCAAAAAGAUAUUUGUAUGCCCAUGUUUAAUGCAACAUUAUUUACAGUAGUCAAGAUACAAAAACAACCUAAGUAUCCAUCAAUGGAUGAAUAAAGAAAAUGUGUUAUGUGUAUAUACAUACAUAUAUACAUACACAUUUUCACAAUGAAUUAUUUUUCAGCCAUAAAAGAAGUAAAUCUUGCCAUUUGUGACAACAUGGAUGAAACUUGAGGGCACUAUGCUAAGUAAGUAAGACAAAGAAAGAUAAUUACCAUAGAAUCUCUUAAAGUUUAAGAUCUCCACAUGUAAAUGAAAGAAACCCAAGUUCAUAGAUACAGAGAACAGAUUCAUCAUUGCCAAGGGUAUGGGGUAGGUUGUGGGUGAAAUGAAUGAAGGGAAAUCAAAGGAAACAAAUUUCCAGUUAUAAAACAAAUAAGCCAUGGGCAUGUAAUUUAGAGCAUAUGACUCAAUGAAUAACAUUUCAUUGUAUAUUUGAAAGUUGCUAAAAGAGUAAGUCUAAAAGUUUCUUAUCAUAAGAAAAUUAUAAGUAUGUAUGGUAGAGUUUCCAUUGUGGCUCAGUGGUUAACAAAUCCAACUAAGAACCAUGAGUUUGCAGGUUCGAUCCCAGGCCUUGAUCAAUGGGUUAAGGAUCUGGUAUUGCCUCAAGCUGUGGUUAGGUCAUGGAUGUGGCUCGGAUCUGGCAUUGCUGUGGCUCGCGUAGGCUGGCAGCUACAGCUCCGAUUAGACCCCUAAACUGGGAACCUCCAUAUGCCUCAGGUGUGGCCCUAGAAAAGACAAAAAGACAAAAAAAAUUAAAAAAAAAAAAACCUAUGUAUGGUGACAAAUGUGAAUUAUCACUGAUCAUUUCAUAAUAUAUAUGAAUGCUGAGUUGUUAUGUUGUACAACUGAAAAAAAUAGUGUUAUGUGUCAAUUAUACCUUAAUAAAAAUAUAUACCUGGCAAAUAUUGUUUUUAUAUUAUUUGGAGUACAUAAAGUGUAUUACCAACCAUUAAAUAUAAUGACCAUUAUUUCAUACUAGUAGUACAUCUUCAAAAUAGUGUUAUAUAUAGAAAAAAAAUGCCAUAUCAUACACUAAUUGUCUUCUUCUCUGCUUAAUGUAUCAAUGAAAGAUGUCACUAUCAGAACGGAUAUAAACCACAGAAAAUAUUUACUGAUGAUAGACUUUUAUUUCCUCAUCAGGUUGCAUUUGAGAAGUUCUUUUAGUAAGAGGUAAAAUAUUAUGGGAAGUGAAAUCCCAAAGCAAAAAAUCUAACAGGAUAGUGAAUCUAUUUCUAUUCCUUUGGGUCCUCACUUGCCUAGACAAACUUUAUCAAAACAAUUUGCUUAUUUCCAUUUGGAAGAUGCAUAAUGGUUGUCUUCAGUGCUGCACCUUAUUUCUCCAUCCACUGAGAUAAGAUUCUCAUAGAUCUCCGAUCAAUUGAGCAUUCUAACACUCACACACAGACACACACAGAAUGUAGGCAACCUGGCUUAUCUAAGAAUUUCAAAACUUUCAAGAAAGUGGUAAAACAAAUCAAAUGAUUAAGGGUGCUCAUAGAGGCGAAUCUUUUAUUUCCUAUAAAAACAUAAUCUCCCAUAUGGAAUAUAUUAACUAAAGAUUUAGUAAUGAAUGGUAUGCUUUCUGUCUUCAUACUCUGGUCAUUAUGCCAAAAAUAAUCUUUGCUCUUUCCUUCUUCCAGAGUCUAUGUGGCUAACAUACACUUCAAGCUAAGACAGAACUCCCCGAGAGAAAGACAAAUCUUCCCUCACCCUGUCAUUAGAUUACAAAUGGUGGCCUUUGUGCUGAUUCAUUUUAAAGCAAACCCCUUCAACGCUUAUGAUCUGUUUUCCCUUCUGUCUCUCCCACACGAUUGAAAAUUUCUUGAGGGAAAUAAUUAUGGUAUAUUUCUGUAGUCUAGUAUCCAGCACACUAUUUGAGACAGUAACUGUUGAUAAAAUAAAUGAAUAAUAAUUGUAAUAUAUAGACUUAUAGAACUCUUUUAUAUUUAAUAAAAUACCUUCUUAUACCAGCAGAAGACAAGUUAUUAUACCUUGCUGAUGUUUUGAUCACUGGCUAGAAAGUGGCAUAGAUUAAAUAGUAAAAAAAGAAAAAAAUGGUAAAAUGAAAACAUCCUGAUAUAGGUUCAUCCAAUUUUAUACCAUAACAACAUGUAUUUAACAAUACUUCUCUGAAUCUUUUCAGCAUCCCUUAGACCCAGGCAAAUGGGGCCCCUGAUUCAGGCACUGGGCUUUAUUUACAACAUUUGCAACGGCUCUCUUCUUUUGCCUGUAUCCUCAGCGGCAAGGAGUCUACAGGCAUGAGUGGACAUACUAAUCUGAAUCCUGUAUCUCCUCUAUAUCAUGCUCCUGAAAAUCUGUGUUUGGGGAAUUUUCUGCCAAAAACCCUACAAUAUCACCUCUGAACCCACUUAUUAUCUUUCUUCUGCAAUAAAAAGGUCAUUCAUUUAGGAUUUUAUUUAGGUUUUUAUUUUCAGCCUUCUCAUGGGACAAAAAUGAUCUCUUUCAUUUUAUUCUGUUAUUCCUAAAGAAUUGGAAAAUGUCUAUAUGAACAUCAAAUCCAAUUAAUUUGGUGUCAAGUCUCAGAUAUUCCCCAGCUUAGGCCAUGUCUUCCUGGUACAAUUCUCAAAGACACUAAUUUUAAUUCUCUUGAAAAUGUUAUCUUUCCUUACUUAUCCUCAUCAGUGUCACUGGUGUCUCCUGGGCCCCAUAUAUAAUAGCUAUGAUAUUGUUCCUUUUUAAUAUUUUCUCCAGGAUGUUCUCAUGCCAGGCUACUUUUCUUACCUCAGUAUUUUUAAUCAGUAUCUCCUGAUUUUAACUCCAGGGCCUCAGAGGAAAAAAAAAAAAAAAAAGUCUCCCCACUGACUCUUCAUGCUAUUUUAUUGAAGUGUAUGUUCUGAAAGAAAAAGGAAAAGAGGGCAGGAAAUUGACAUUUCUCUUCUCAGAGCUGAUUCUAUCCCUGACGUAGACCCUGUGAAACAACAUUAUCCAUAUAUGACUUAUCCUAUCUGGUCAGUUUGUUUUGCAUACCUGGAAGCUGGAACUUUAAUCCCCCAACACAUCUGGGAAUGCUGCCAUCGCUAAUGGCCAAAUAGUGUAUGCAAAGUGAGAACUUGCAGACACCUGUCCUUCAAAAGUCUGUCACACAAAACCUAUUUGGUCCUCUCCUAAGAGACACUGUGUUUUGUCAUGGAGUCUUCCUCGACCAAUCUCAGUGCACUUAGUGUAGGUUUUCAGUUCUCAUAGAUCUAGUCUCUAAAUGGGAUUUCUGGAAAGAAGCCAGCUCAAGACUAUGCACAUAUGUAUUGCAUGGCCUGCUCUGUUGUUAUUCCCUGGAAGUCUUCAAGAUGAAGUGCAUUUACCACGCAUUCUGUGGUUUCCAUACCUUUCUAAAUAAAACUAAGGUUCAAUAAUUCUGCAUAAUAAACAUAUGAUAAACUGUACAAGUUAAGAUGUUUGCUUUUUGCCUCUUACCUGAAGGAGUUAUUUUGGUUGUUGCUAUUAAUAAGAGUUUGAAACUGUGGUUUUAAUUUCUUAUCUAGACAUGAACAAAUGAAUAUAUCCAUUACACAGCAAGCCUUCAGUACAUGCAUGAUACACACGAUUUUGAAACAUCAAAAUAAAUGUUGGGAUCCAAAGAAAGAAAAUCAUGUUAUUUGUCACAAUAUUUCAAUGACCUUUGAAAAUGCAAUGAAUCACAAAAAUACAUUU